UUCGUUGUCAAGGUAAGCCAGGGUGUGGCCAGGUAUUUAGAGGUCAAUUAAAAAUUAUAUUACAUCUACAGACCUCAAAGUUCAGGACAGAUAGAGAGAAUAAAUAAGACUCUAAAAGAGACCCUGACCAAAUUGACCAUGGAGACUGGCGUAGACUGGGUGACACUCCUUCCCUCUUGCUCUCUUCAGAGCAAGAAAUACCCCUUCCAGAGUCAGCUUUACCCCCUUUGAGAUCUUAUAUGGGGCCUCAGCUCCCCUGACUAUAUUAGAUGAUGUUACUGAACCAGCAUGUCAUAAUAAUAAUGAUUUGUAUGCCAGGCUAAAAGACCUACAGGUGAUACAGAAAGAAAUCUGCUCACAGCUGACAGCAGCCUAUGCCCCGGAGACCCCUGAGACAUGUCAUCAGUUCCAGGUCGGAGACUACAGCUACACUGAACCCAGACACUCGAGCCUCACUGGAAAGGACCAUACCUGGUGCUGCUGACCACCCUGACAGCCGUCAAUUCUCAGCCCUCACCAGCAGCGUACUAGCUGUUGGGGCUGAGAGCUGGGACCUAGAGGGACACUCAGUUCUUCAAAAAGCUCCCUAGACUUAAGUGACUGGGAGGUUGCUAUAAUGCUCACUUGAGGAGUGUGUUUUAGAAACAAGAAUUUCAUGUUUGCCUGUUUGCCCUGGGUUCCCUCGGAAUAGGUGUAGGGAUAGGCUUGAUUUUUAUUGCAAAUGAUGUAAUAUUACAUAUAUUAGUACUCCUAACACUUCUUGGGACUGUGCCUCAGGGAUCACAACCUAUAUAAGUUUAAAAGUUCUAAAAGACCUUGGUAUAUAGGUUCAGAUAGUGUCCAGAUUAGACCUGAUAUUCCUUAAAGAAAGAGUCUGUGUGCUACACUAAAAGAAGAAUGUUGUUUCUAUACAGAUCAGACAGGAAUAAUAAGAGAUAUAGUCUUUCAGUUAUUCAAACUUUUGUGCUGAGACAACAGUAUCAGAUGGUGAAACAACAAAAAAACAGAGGUACCUUAACCAAGUUGAGUGGAAGAUUCCACUCAAGGACAAAAAGAAAAUGGGGGAAUGAAAGACCCCCUCCCAGAAAGGGAAUUGUACAAGCCCAAGGCCCUCAACUAUAGAAGUAAAAAGUAAGUUUUUAGAUAUGUGGGACAAGCUGACCCAUCAUUUAGACGAAACAGACCAGAAAAGAAAACAAAAUGUAGAAACCAGACUAAAUUAUGGGCAUUGCUCCAUGGGCCACCUGGCAGGGAAAAAGAAACAGUCCCUGACCCCCCAGGAGACCCGACCACCAUGUACUUUUCACUAACUCAUUGUUAUGAUUAUAGCCAAAAUAGGUAACAUACACGUAUGUUUCAUUUACUCCACCAAUCACAUCCCUGUAACUAUGCAUCUGCUUCUGUAAGCCUGCUUCUGCUCCCCAAAAUACUAUAAAAAGCCCACCCUGGCUCUGUUAGGCGCGCCAGUCUUCCAAAUCGACUGGGACGCCCACAGAUACCUGUGUAUCCUGAUCAAUAAAAAUCCUCUUGCAGAUUGC
This 1538-nucleotide long non-coding RNA is filed under the name Rattus norvegicus (Norway rat). RNAcentral's name for it is "long non-coding RNA NONRATT023838". Lineage: Eukaryota; Metazoa; Chordata; Mammalia; Rodentia; Muridae. The record is from RNAcentral.